This 10753-nucleotide long non-coding RNA is filed under the name Solanum tuberosum (potato). RNAcentral's name for it is "long non-coding RNA (STUB_LNC004803)". Lineage: Eukaryota; Viridiplantae; Streptophyta; Magnoliopsida; Solanales; Solanaceae. The record is from RNAcentral.
UUCUUUCGAAGCCUCUGAUAGUAUCCAGAUUGUAGUGCAUGCACUAACAUGGCCAAGAAACAGGGUGCACACGAUGCAAAACGGUACACCAACCUUCAAAAUCCUCCAGGCCUAAUCCCCUCAACUUUCACCAUACAUCCACCCAACAAACAAAAUCAAGCUGGCAUAAUACAACAAAAAGGAAGAAGAAAAAAUGAGCAGCGAGUACUUGUCAGGUGUCCAUAAGACCAUAACCAUCAACCAUCUGGAAUCUCAUCAGUUGGAUAAUUAAAGAGACUAAGCAUCUGGACUAAAAAACAAAAAUGACAGUAAAAUGACACAGUAGUAAAAACAAAAACUAUUUUAGUUGUAAUCCCAGUACUCAUAAAAGCCUGAACUAAGGCAACCUCGACAUGAAUGGACAAGUGGCUUCCAUGAAAAGAAUAAUUCACUGCUCUUUAAGACCCAAUGGCUGCAUGCACAAAAAAAAGGGUACAAUCAAGUUCAAAGUUGAUGAAAGCCCACACCAAAGAAAUCAUUAGAGAUGCCACAUAGACAAGAUUAAAGAACCCUUCUUCGUUUAAGCCCCGACAAUAUAUCCAAAUUGCAGUGCAAGAACCAAAAAGACCAAGAGGGUACAGAGAUACCAUACUGGAUAUCAACCUUAUCAAUCUCCCAAUCUUAACCUCUAAUAUUGUCACCAUAUAGUCUGCACAUCCAUCCAACAAAAAAAAUGGCAGCAAAGAACAUAUGUAGCUAGAAGACCAGAAGUAGAGAAGCACUUUAUGAAGAGAUAGAUCCACAAAUCGAGUACUUAUCAAGUGACUAUAACCAUAAUGAGGAGAGAACUCAUCAGUUGGAUCAUUGAAGAACAAAUUGUCUGGAUUAAAAGCUUCAUGGCAGCAGAACACAAUACACACUUGCAAGAAAAUAUUAUCUUAGUCAAAAUAACAUCCAUACAACAAUAGUUUUGACAGAGAAAAGGGACCUAUAAGGAAAGAAAACAGAAUCGAAAAUCUCAAUACUCAUGAAAGACUCUACUAAAGAAACCUCAACACAAACGGAUAAACACGGCCGCUUCAUGAAAAGAAUAAUCCACUGCCCUAUGGUUCAAUGGCUACAAGAAUUGAAAGAAAGAAACAGUUAAGUGCAAAUCUGACAAACCCCGAAACCACCCAUGUAAUCACUAAAUAUGCUAUAGACAAGACUAAAAACCCCCUUAUGUCAAAGCCCGGAAAUCCAAAUUGCAGUGCAAGCACCAAAGACCAAAAGGUGACAGAGGAUCACAUGUUGAUUAUAACCAAGCUUUGAAAUUUCCAAAUCUGAAUGUCCAUAACAGUACCACCACCAUAUGGCUACACAUCUAUCCAACCAAAACAAACUAUCAUGAUAAUAUAAAAAAAAUGGAAGACAAAAGAUAAUAAGUAGCUAGAAGAACAAAAGUAAAGAAGUAUUUUACAUCACUAUAAAAAGAUCUAGGAUUGGCCGAGUACUUCUUUAGGUGCCCACACAAAAGACCUCAUCACCAUAGGACACCUCACAACUUGGAUCAUCCAAGAGCAUAUGCUUCUGGACAAAGAACUCAUGGCAGCAGAAAAAUACAACACACUGGUCAAAAAUAAUAUCCUAAUUGAGAAACUUCCAUACAAAAGUAGUUUUGACAAAGAUAAGAGGAGCCAUGAGAGAAGAAAACUGAAUUGAAAAUUAUCGAUACUCAUAAAAGACUGAACUUAAAAGGCCUCAACUCAUAUGGACAAACAAGAUCACUCCAUGAAAAGAAGAAUCCACUGCUCUGUAAGACCCAAUGGCUGCAAGCAAAGGAAUAAAGGAAAGAAUACUUGCAAAGCUGACGAAACCCACUAGAAAAUGCAAGAUAAGAUUGAAAAACCCCUCUCAUAUCCUGAUAAUAUCCAUAUUGCGGUGCAUCCACAAAACUGGCAAAGAAUCAAGAUUGAGAAACCCCUCUAUCUCGCCUAAUAAUAUUCAGAUUGUAGUGCCAGCACAAAAAUGGCAUAGAAACAGGUUGCACAAGAAUGGACACUGGGCAUUAACCUUCAAAAUUUUCCAAAUCUAAUCCUCUACUGUCAUCCAUCCAACAAAUAAAAUCAAUCUGGGGUGAAACAAACAGGAAGCAGAGAACGGACCCACUUGAUGGGGCUGUCAAGAGAUCUAGGAUUGAGUUUUGAUUUCUUAUCAGGUGUCAAUAAGACCAUAUACCCAUCAACCAACCAGGAAUCUCGUAAUCUCAUCAAUUGGAUCAUCGAAGAACACAAGCAUCCGAUCUACAAACUAAAAAUGGCAGAGCAGAAUACAACACACACUAGUGCAAGAAAAACUAAUUUAGCUGGGAACUACCAUAUAACGGCAAUUUUUGACAAAGAGAGGAGGGACCACUCUGAUUGAGGAAGAAAACUGAAAUGAGAAUCUCAGUACUCAUAAAACCUGAAGUAGAAGAACAUCAACACAAAUGUCCAAACAAAGCCCCUCCAUGAAAAGGAUAGUUCACUGCUCGGUUAGACCCAACUGCAAGCACAGAAAGGAGGCUGCAAGCACAGAAAGAAGGGAACAGUUAAGUGCAAAGCUGACAAAACCCUUAUCACCUAAGAAAUCACUAGAGACGCAAGAGAUAUUGAAAAACCCCAUUAGUCGAAGCCUGACAAUAUCUAUCUUGGAGUGCAAGCACAAAAAAGACAGAAAAAGGUGCAAAGGAACGCCUACCGGAUACAAGCAUUCGAAGUUCCCAAAACUAAUCCUCUAUUAAUAUCACCAUGUGGUCUACACAUACAUUCACCAAUAAACAAGAUCAAGCAGGUGUGAUAACCAAGGGAAAACGAAAGCAGAGAGAAAAUAAGUAGCUAGGACACAAAAGCCAGAGGAGCACUUUACGGCACUAUCAGAGAUCCAGAAUUGACUUUUGACUACUUAUACAGUGCCCAUAACACCACAAGAGAUAGCAGGAUUAUCAAAGAACAUGAGCAUCUGAACCAUGAACUAAAACUGGCAGCGUUACACACACAAGUGAAGAGAAAUAUCAUAAUUGAGAACUUCCAUAAGCAGUAAUGACAAAACUUCGAGAGACUGAAAAAUCCAAUACCUAUAGUCAAAAACCUGGGAACUGUUGCAUCCUUCCCGAGACGAACACCAAAGCAAGACACUUACUCCUGUAGAACGACUUGCACCUAGAUGCCCAUCCAUGUAUUCUUGACAGCUAAGAAUGACAUCCACUGAUGACCAAACCAAAUAAGUUGAGCGAGGAGAAACAUGAUAAGCAUCAAUAUUAACAUUAAAGAUGGAAGUCAAGAUAUCAAAUCCAAACUGAUAGCUCCUCUCUAUGGUUAUGACAACAUAAGACGAUGGGACUCGUUCAUCUCAAGAUCUAAAUUCCCACUUCUACUCAUAUUCUGAUUCAACAGAAGGAAAUUGCUAGGUUUUAGAGUAGUAAAUAGGGUGACAAAAUAAUGUACACAACACACGAUUUCUCACAACAAAAACCUCAGAAUUUUCCAAAACCUGGAAGCAAUACUCGAUUUCCCCCAAAACUGCAUCCAAAAUGGACCUUACCAUACCAGCUUCCAAUUUCUAAAAUAAAAACAUUGGAAAUCAAUCGAAGGUACACCAAGAAAAUGGGAACAAAUUAAAUAUUUGCACUGGAAAGGUACCCAUAAUCAUUCUCCUAUCAUUAUUACCCAGACCUUCAACCAAACACCAAUAACGAAUCAAAAGAUCCAAAAUUGAUUACUUGUUAGGUGUCCACAAAACCAUAACCAUCAACCAUCAGGAAUCUCAUCAGUUGGAAAAUUGAAGAAAAUAAGCACCUAAACGAAAAACCAAAAAUGAUGAUAGAAUAUGACACACACUAGUUGAAAAAAAAUUAGUUGCAAAUCUCAGUACUCAUACAAGCCUGAACCAUGGAAACCUCCACAGAAAUUGGACAAACAAAACCUCUCCAUCAAAAGAAUAUUUUACUGCUCUGUAAGACCCAAUGGCUGCAAGCACAAAAAGAAGGGUACAAUCAAGUCCAAAACUGACAAAACCCUUACCACCUAAGAAAUCACUAAGAGAUGCCAUAUAGACAAGAUUAAAAAACCCUUCUUUGUUGAAGCCUUGACCAAUAUGUCCAUAUUACAGUGCAAGAACCAAAAAGACCAAGAGGGUACACAUAUACCAUACUGGACAUCAACCUUUGAAAUCUCCAAAUCUUUAACCUCUAAUACUGCCACCAUAUAGUUCGACCUGUCGUCACAUAUGAAAUAACGGACGGUAAAAAUUUAGGAGCCCUUUUUCUACCGGAUCCAUUGCAGGAAAGGGAUAAUGUGUAACUUCGAAUUGUCAACUAUCUCCUUUAUAGUCUAAACAUCCAUCCAUCAAAAAUAAGAAGCUGUGACAACCGAAAGAAAAUCGCAGGAAAGAACAUAUGUAGCUAGAAGACCAGAAGUGGAGGAGCACUUUAUGGCACUGUCAAAAAGUAAGAUCCAGAAUUGACCGAGUACUUACUGGUAAAACUUCAUGGCAGCAGAACACAACACACACUGGUGAAAAAUAUUAUCUUAGUUGAGAAACUGUCAGUCUUUCAUGCAACAAUAGUUUUGACGGAGAAAAGAGAGCCAUACGGGAAGAAAACUGAAAUUAAAAAUUGCAGUACUCACAAAAGACUUAACUAAAGAAACCUCAACACAAAUGAACAAACACAGCCGCCUCAUGAAAAGAACAAUUAACUGCCCUGUAGCCAAAGGCUGCAAGAACAGAAAGAAGGGAACAGUUAAGUGCAAAUCUGACAAACCCCAAACCACCCAAAUAAUGACUAGAUAUGCCAUAGACGAGACCGAAAACCCCCUUUUCGAAGCCCAGACAAUAUCCAGAUUGCAGUGCAAGCACCAAAAAGUCCAAAAGGUGGCAGAGGAUCGCAUGUUGGUUAACCAACCUUUGAAAUUUCCAAAUUUGAACGUCCAUAACAGUGUCACCGUACGGUCUACACAUCCAUCAAACCAAAAAAACUAGUGUGAUAACAAAAAAAUAUGGAAGCAGAGAAGAUAAGUAAGUAGCUAGAAGAACAAAACAAACAAAGUAUUUUACGCCACUAUCAAAAGAUCCAUUGGCCGAGUACUUAUCAGGUGUCCAUAGCCAUAAGAGACUUCAUCAUCACCAUAAGAGGCCUCAUCAAUUGGACCAUCUAAGACAUAUGUGUCUGGACUAAGAACUUCACGGUAGCAGAAUACAAUCACUGGUGAAAAAUAAUGUCCUAAUUGAGAAACUUCCAUACAACAGUAGUUUUGAAAAGACAAAUGAGUCAUUAGGGAAAAAAAACUAAAUUGAAAAUUAUCCAUACUCGUAAAAUACAGAACUAAAGAAACCUCAACACCACAUAUGGACAAAUAAGGCCUUCUAUGGGAAGAAAAAUCCACUGCUUUGUGAGACCCAAUGGCUGCAAGCAAAUGAAUGAAGGGAAGAGUUACGUGCAAAGUUGAUGAAACCCACUAGAAAAUGCCAGACAAGAUUGAAGAACCCCUCUCAAAGCCUGAUAAUAUUCAGAUUACAGUGGAAGCACAAAUAUGGCAAAGAAACAAAAUUGGAAACCCCCUCUGUCGAAGCCUGAUAAUAUUCAGAUUGCAGUACAAGCACAGAAAUAGGCAAAGAAACAGGAUGCACAGGAAUGGACUCUGGGCAUCAACCUUCGAAACUUUCCAAAUCUAAUCCUCUUAACUGCCAUCCAUCCAACAAACAAAAUCACACUGGGAUGAUACCUUAGUUGCGCGGACUCUCCACUUUUAAUGCCGCACCCGUGUCGGAUUCUCCAAAAACACACUACAUUUGGCGAAUCCGACACGCACCCGUUGACAUUUUGAAGAGUCCGAGCAGCAACAUAGGGUGAUACAACAAAUGGAAAGCAGAAUAAAACACACACUGGUUGAAAAUAUAACCAUUAUUGAGAACUUCCACACAACAGUAGUUUUGACAAAGAGAAAAGGGUCCCACUUAUCAAGAAAAAAACUGAACUGGAGUUCAUUCUGUAGAAGACCCAACAGUUGCAUGCACAAAAAUAACAAAACAGGUAGGUGUAAAACAUGGGAAACUCAUACCACACAGCAAGACAACUAGAGAUGCCAAACAAUAUAACAUUGCAAAGGGACCAUUUCUUGAAGCGUCUGGUGAUAUCCUACCAUCCAGAUUGCAGUGCAAGCACCAGAAUGGCAAGAAAUAGGGUUCACAGGGCACAUCGAAACCAAAUUACAAAAUUUAAUCUUAUCCUCCUACUAUCAUCAUAUCAGCACCAUGUGGCCUACAAACAUUCAUCCAACCAAACUAAAUCAACUGGUAAGCUAAAUGAAAGCAAAGGAGGUAAGCAGCGAGAACAUGAAAAUAAAGGUGUUGCAGGGCUAUCAAAAGAUCCAAGACUGAGUUUGAAUACAUUCAUCGACUGUCCAUAACCAUGGAGAUCUCAUCAGUUGGAUCACUAACAAGCAUAAGCAUCUGGAUUACUUUAAAAAAUGGCAACAAAAUACGCAAUAGUGAAGCAGUGUUGACAAAGAGAGAAGGGAACCAUUCUGAUUACAGAAGAAAACUGAAUUGAAGAUCUCAAUAAUCAUUAAAGCAUCGACAAAAAAACCUCAACACAAAUUGACAGACAAGGCCGCUCCAUGAAAAGAAGAAUCUACAGCUUUGAAAGACCCAACAGCUGCAAGCACAGAAAGAAUGGAAUACUUUUAAGUGCAAAGUUGGUGAAGCCCGUACCACCUAGAAUUCACUAGAAAUGCAAGACAAGAUUGAGAACCGCCUUCUUUCAAAGCCUCUGAUAGUAUGAAGAUUGUAGUGCAUGCACUAACAUGCCAAGAAACAGGGUGCACGGGAUGCACACUGUACACCAACCUUCAAAAUCCUCCAACAAGUCUGAUCCCCUCAACUUUCACCAUACAUCCAUCCAACAAACAAAAUCAAGCUGGCGUAAUACAAGAAAAAGGAAGCAGAAAAAAUGAGCAGCGAGAACACCAAAAGAGAGGACCAUUUAUGAGGCUUUCAAGAGAUCCAAAUUGAGAUCUUGUCAGGUGUCCAUAAGACCAUAACCAUCAACCAUCUGGAGUCUCAUCAGUUGGAUAAUUAAAGAAAAGAAGCAUCUCGACAAAAAACCAAUAUGACAGUAGAAUAUGACACACACUAGUGAAAAACAAAAACUAUUUUAGAUGAAAAUCCCAGUACUCAUAAAAGCCUGAGGCAACCUCAACAUGUAUGGACAAACAACGCCACUCCAUGAAAAGAAUAAUUCACUGCUCUGUAAGACCCAAUGGCUGCAGGCACAAAAAGAAGGGUACAAUCAAGACCAACGUUGACGAAACCCACACCAACUAAGAAAUCACUAGAGAUGAGAUUUAGACAAGAUUUAAAAACCCUUCUUUGUUGAAGCCUUGACCAAUAUAUCCAGAUUGCAAUGCAAGAACCAAAGAGACCAAGAGGGUACAGAGAUACUAUACUGCGUAUCAACCUUUGAAAUCUCCAAAUUCUAACCUCUAAUAUUUUCACCAUAUAGUCUACACAUCCAUCCAACAAAAAAUGGCAGCAAAGAAUAUAUGUAGCAAGAGGACCAGAAGUAGAGCAGCACUUUAUGGAGAGAUAGAUCCACAAACCGAGUACUUAUCAAGUGACUAUAACCAUAAUGAGGAGAGAACUCAUCUGUUGGAUCAUUGAAGAACAAAGAGUCUGGAUUAAAAUCUUCAUGGCAGCAGAACACAACACACACUUGUAAGAAAAUAUUAUCUUAGUCAAAAAACAUCCAUACAACAAUAGUUUUGACAGAGAAAAGGGAUCCAUAAGGAAAGAAAACAGAAUCAAAAAUCUCAAAUACUCAUAAAAGACUCUACUAAAGAAACCUCAACACAAACGGAUAAACACGGCCGCUUCAUGAAAAGAAUAAUCCACUGCCCUGUGGUUCAAUGGCUGCAAGAAUUGAAAGAAAGGAACAAUUAUGUGCAAAUCUGACGAACCCCAAAACCACCCUCGUAAUCACUAAAUAUGCCAUAGACAAGACUAAAAAACCCCUUAUGUCAAAGCCUGGAAAUCCAAAUUGCGGUGCAGGCACCAAAGACCAAAAGGUUACAGAGGAUCACAUGUUGGUUAUAACCAAGUUUUGAAAUUUCCAAAUCUGAAUGUCCAUAACAGUACCACCAUAUGGCUACAUAUCUAUCCAACCAAAACAAACUAGCGUGAUAAUGAAAAGAAAAAAAUGGAAGCACAGAAGAUAAGUAAGUAGCUAGAAGACCAAAAGUAAACAAGUAUUUACGUAUCUGUCACUAUCAGAAGAUCUAGAAUUGGCCGAGUACUUAUUCAGGUGUCCACAGCCACAAAAGACCCCAUCACAAUAGGAAACCUCAUCACUUGGAUCAUUGAAGAACAUAUGCGUCUGGACUAAGAACUUCAUGGCAGCAGAAAAAUACAACACACUGGUCAAAAUAAUAUCCUAAUUGAGAAACUUCCAUACAACAGUAGUUUUCACAAAGAUAAGAGGAGCCAUGAGGGAAGAAAACUGAAUUGAAACUUAUCGAUACUUAUAAAAGACUAAACUAAAAAGGCCUCAAAUCAUAUGGACAAACAAGGUCACUCCAUGAAAAGAAGAAUCUACUGCUUUGUACGACCCAAUGGCUGCAAGCAAAGGAAUGAAGGGAAGAGUUACUCGCAAAGCUGACGAAACCCACUAAAAAAUGCAAAGACAGGGUUGAAAAACACCUCUCUCGAAGACUGAUAAUAUUCAGAUUGCGGUGCAAGCACAAAAUGGCAAAGUAUCACGAUUGAGAAACACCUCUAUCUUGCCUGAUAAUAUUGAGAUUCCAGUGCCAGCACUAAAAUGGCAGAGAAACAGGCUUCCUGGGCACUGGGCAUCAACCUUCGAAAUUUUCCAAAUCUAAUCCUUUUCACUGUAAUCCAUCCAACAAAUAAAAUCAAGCUGGGGUGACACAACAAACAGGAAGCCGAGAAGAUAAGCAGCAAGAAUAUACUACCAAAAGAGACGAACCCACUUGACGGGGCUGUCAAGAGAUCUAGGAUUGAGUUUGGAUUGAGUUUGGAUUGAGUUUUGAUUACUUAUCAGCUGUCAAUUAGACCAUAUACCCAUCAACCCCCAGGUUGAUCUCAUUAAUUGGCGAAGAACACAAGCAUCUGAACAAAAAACAGCAGCAGAAUAUAGCACACACUAGUGCAAGAAAAACUAUUCUAGCUGGGAACUUCCAUAUAGCAGCAAUUUUUGACAAAGAGAAGAGGGACCACUCUAAUUGGGGAAGAAAACUGAAAUGAGAAUCCCAGUACUCACAAAACCUGAACUAAUGAAAACCUCAACACAAAUGUCCAAACAAAGCCCUCCAUGAAAAGAACAAUCCACUACUCGGUUAGACUUAGACCCAACUGCAGGCACAGAAAGAAGGGAACAGUUCAGUGCAAAGCUGACAAAACCCUUGUCACCUAAGAAAUCAUUAGAGAUGCAAGAGACAAUUGAAAAACUCCAUUUUUAGUCUAAAGCCUGACAAUAUCCAUCUUAGAGUGCAAGCACCAAAAAGACCAAGAAACAGGUGCACAAGAAUGCAUACUGGACACAAGCCUUUAAAGUCUCCAAAACUAAUCCUCCAUUGAUGUCACCACGUGGUCUACGCACAUAUUCACCAACAAACAAAAUCAAGCAGGCGUGAUAACCAAGGGAAAAUGGAAGCAAAGAGAGGUAAGUAGCUAGGACACAAAAGGCAGACGAUCACUUCACAAUACUAUCUGAGAUCCAGAAUUAGACUUUUGACUACUUAUCCAGUGCCCAUAACACCACAAGAGAUAGCAGGAUCGUCAAAGAACAUGCGCAUCUGAACUAUGAACUAAAACUGGCAGCAGAAUGGCUAUACAACACAAGUGAAGAUAAUUAUCAUAGUUGAGAACUUCCAUAAGCAGUUUUGACAAAACUUCGAGAGACUGAAAAAUCCAAUACCUAUAGUCAAAAACCUGGGAACUGCUGCAUCUUUCCCAAGACAAACAUUGAAGCAAGACACUUAUUCCAGUAGACCAACGUGGACCUAGAUGCCCGUCCAUGUAGUCUCGACAGCUAAGAAUGACAUCCAAUGAUGACCAAACCAAAUAAGUUGAGCGAGGAGAAACAUGAUAACAAAAUUAGCAUUAAAGAUGGAAGUCAAAAUAUCAAAUCCAAAACUGAUAGGUCCACUCUAUGGUUGUAACAAGAAAAGAUGAGGGGACUGAUUCAUCUCAAGAUCCAAAUUUCCACUUCCACUCGUAUUCUGAUUCAAUAAAAGGAAAUUGCUAUAUUUCAGAGUAGUAAAUAGGAAACACACGGUUUCUCACAACAAAAACCUCAGAAUUUCCCAAAACCUGGAAGCAAAACUUGAUUCCCCCAAAACUGCAUCUAGAAAGGCUACCAGCUUCCAAUUUCUAAAAAAAACAUUGGAAAUCAAUCGAAGGUACACAAGAAAAUAAAUGCACUGCAAAGGUACCCAUAAUCAUUCUCCUAUCAUUAUCACCCAUACCUGAUCAAACAAACACCAACAACGAAUCAAUAAAUUGGCAAAAAAAAAAAACAGAACUAAUUGUGAACGCCCAAAACCCCUAACGUUCCUCCUCCUAGAUGAUCAUGAUCAAAGAGUUGCAAAUCAGAAACCCCAACCCAUAUUAAAAAAAUCAAAAUCAAAACUAAAGGAAGACAUCAGAAUCAACAAUAACUACCCAUAUAUCUUGAUCAAACACUGCAAAUUUCAAAGAAAGAACACCAAAUCAUAGGAAAAAAAAAGAGAAGUAAACCAAU